GGCACAAGCGGUGGAGCAUGUGGUUUAAUUCGACGCAACGCGAAGAACUUACCUGGGCUAGACAACGUGGACUCCCCAGAGAUGGGGAUUCCCUUCGGGGACUGCCGGAUCAGGUGCUGCAUGGCUGUCGUCAGCUCGUGUCGUGAGAUGUUGGGUUAAGUCCCGCAACGAGCGCAACCCCCGCCUUUAGUUGCUACCAUUCAGUUGAGCACUCUAAAGGGACCGCCGGCGUUAAGCCGGAGGAAGGUGGGGAUGACGUCAAGUCCUCAUGGCCCUUAUGUCCAGGGCUACACACGUGCUACAAUGGGCGGUACAGAGGGUUGCCAACCCGCGAGGGGGAGCCAAUCCCAGAAAGCCGUCCUCAGUUCAGAUUGCAGGCUGCAACUCGCCUGCAUGAAGCUGGAGUUGCUAGUAAACGCGCGUCAGCUAUAGUGCGUUGAAUACGUUCUCGGGCCUU
RNAcentral lists this ribosomal RNA (457 nucleotides) under uncultured delta proteobacterium. Its description in RNAcentral is "bacterial SSU rRNA". It matches the Rfam family "Bacterial small subunit ribosomal RNA", at positions 922 to 1382 of the family's 1533-position model. Lineage: Bacteria; Deltaproteobacteria. The record is from RNAcentral.